AUUCAUAUACAUUCAUAUUGAAGCAGGUUUUUGUUUUUUUGUUGUUGAUUAAGCACGGAGUUUGCUUUGUUUUAAUUUUUUUCUCAACUUGUGAUAUUUUGACAAGUGGAGUACUGUAUUACUGCAAGGGAAGCAGUCAAUCAAAGCGGAAGGUUGUGAAUGCAAAAGACGAAGCGGAACAAAUAUUUAAGGAGUUUCAUGCCAGUGCUUUUGGUGCCCACUGUGGCAUAGUUAAAACCAGAGACGCUAUCACCAGAAGGUUUUACUGGCCAGGCAUCACAAAAGACAUCGAUAAGUGGGUCAGUCAAUGUGUGCAACGCCAGCAAAGUGCACUGACAAUUAAGCAGGAGACAAUACCCAUCCCAAUUGAAGUGAGUCAACUGUUUGAGCUUGUUGGGAUGGACCUUAUAGGAAAGGUGGUUAAGACAGAGUCUGGGAACCAGCACAUUGCAGUCAUGGUUGACUAUUUUACAAAAUGGUCUGAAGCCUAUCCUUUACCGUCUAAAACAGCAGCAGAUGUUGCACAAUGCAUUUUGAAGUUCUUUUAUCGCUUUGGGGCCCCUAAGCGAAUCCUGACCGACCAGGGGAAAGAAUUUGUCAAUGUGUUGCUAAAUACUUUUGAGUGUUAUGGACCGAUGUAUGAUGCAAUAUGAAAAUGUUGAACAAGGACAUUUGCAAAAUGCUGGACAUUGAGCGCAGCCUUUGUGCUCCCUAUCAUCCUCAGACCAAUGGGCUAGUAGAAAAGCUCAAUGGGACAAUUCAAAGACACAUAGAUUGGCCUCCCUUACAUUCUUCUCCAAGUGUUGAUGCCAUUAUUCUCUGUGAAGUUGGAAAUUGUUCAUCUUAUGCUGGUGUGAUCUUCUGCUCCCCUGGAGUUAAUGGCCUGCUGCAGUGGAAUCCCUUUGUGUGACCCCUCACUGUUUUGUGACAUCAAUUACUGAAUGGGUUAUCAUUUUCUUUAGGUCAAAUACUCCCAGGACUGGAUUGGUAAAUUUGUCCACAUUGGCACAGUGGCUGGCAGCUUAUUUCAGUUAAUUUAGCAAGCAAAUGAUAAAAUGUUGUUUUUCAGAGCACUGUGCAAACUUGUGAGCGAGCGACCAAACACUUGGGACACCUACUUGGAUGCUGUGAUGUUUGGACUCAGAACCAAAAAACAAUACACAACAAAGUUUUCACCAUAUUUCCUCCUCUUUGGAACAGAGGCUCGUCUGCCAUGUGAGGUUCCAGAGAACAUCCUGAUUGACAGCAAGAUUGAAGACACUCUGGGGAAGGAGUCGGUGUUGGAGGCAAUAAAAAACGGGACACAAUUUUCCAACUAGUUCAGCAAAACAUAAAAAGAGCUCAUCAAAAAUACAAGACCACAACUCAUAAAUAAGAAAGGUUGGAGAAAAGGUUCUACGACUCAACAUAAGAAGCCAACAGCGUAAGGGUGGCAAACUUGAGAAAAACUGGACCGGCCCAUACACCAUUGUUAACCUAAUCAACAAAAGUGCAGAUCUCCAAUCCCCAACCGCUUUUCUGCCAAAAGUGAACAUAGAUCAGCUUCGGUUAUUCAUUGAACAAGAACCAAUAAUCCCUCAGAACAUUAUAAAAACUGGAAAACCUGCUUCCACCCCUCAACUUGCUGGGGAUCCAGCCUCCACCCCUCAACCUGCUGGGGAUCCAGCCUCCACCCCUCAACCUGCUGGGGAUCCAGCCUCCACCCCUCAACCUGCUGGGGAUCCAGCCUCCACCCAUCAACCUGCUGGGGACCUUGCUUCCACCCCUCAACCUGCUGGGGAUCCAGCCUCCACCCUUCAAGGUGUUGAAGCUGCUACGGAUCCUGCCGUGCCUCCAUUUUCAGGCUCUACAAAAGUAGAGCAGGAUAUCCGGAAAGCCUGGGAUGGCAUGACAGCGGCUGUUCUUCUUUCUAAAAUUGGGCCUUAUAAGCUGUUUUACUUUGAUAUUUUCAGAACAGCACCAGGGAGGGAACUCGAGAGCGAGCUGAUCAAUGCCUACAUGAAAUGUUUGGAGAGAAAGCAUAAUACAUCCUCAGCAGAGAAAGUGCUGUGUAUCGACUCGUUUGGCAUAUCUGCUGUGUGGCAAAAAAAAAAAGUGGGAUCCAACAGACUACAGCACUUUAUGUGGCAUUGUUAAUGACAAACAUCACUGGUUUGUCAUUAUUAUAUUUCCGAAACAGAGAAAAUCUCUUCUUCUGGACUCACUUGGGGAAAGUAGUUAGAAGUUGAAGAGAUGUCAAGAAAUAUCAAGAGCUCUUGUGAAGAAACAGGGCAUGAAUGUGUCAAGGUGGGAGUGCAACACACUUCCACAUCCCCUACAACCUGACUCCAGCUCUUGUGGCGUGUUUGCCAUAAAGGUAUUAAAAAAUGUACUCCUAUAUUCACUUGAGAUACAUGUUGGGCUAUAUGUAUUUUGUGUUUGUACUUCAAUUUGAAAAGAAAAUACUUGAUGGACAACAUCCUGUUUUUCCUGCUGGACGUAAGGAUGUGGAAAUGCUACGUUGGCAGAUUGCAGUCACUGUGCUGGAGGCAUCAGAUGACUUGACAGAUAUCUGCUGCAUCUGUGGACAGAAAGACGAUCCCAAAGAGAAGAAGAGCAUAAUUUGGAUAUCCUGUGAUGUGUGCUUGAGGUGGUUUCACCAUGUUUGCUGUGGAUGUCCAAACACAUCAGCAGCUUUUAUUUGUAAGGCCUGUUGAGGAAAGAUGACUUGUUGAAGUUUUUCACAACUCUGCAAUUUGUUCAGUGUUUAUUUACAGGUGGAAUUACACCACUUGUUGUUAUACUAUUAUUUAUUUUAGAUUUUAAAAAUAAGCACAUUGUAUUUAUGUUGAAUACUUAUCUUAAUUGAAUGACCUAUGUUUAAACAACAUGUUCUUGAAAGUUUGACAAUAUCUUUUAAUUUUUAAACCUAAAAACGAUUAUCCCUGUGGUGUUUUGUAAUGAGGUAUCUGUAAAUUUGUCUAGUUUUAAUUUUUGACCAAUGGAAUGUAAUUUCUGCAUCAAAUGACUGUAUAGCUAUGAGAGAUUAUAUUUUUCCGAUCUUACUGAGCACAACACUUUCCACAGGGAAAAAUUGCCCAAAGUCUGUUUUUCUCUUCCAAAAUUUGAUUAAGGCUUAUUUUCUGCCCAGCUAAAUUAAAUUCCUGCCUAAAAUUACUCUGUUUGAUUCAAACGGAUUGCAUUUUACCGAUCUUCCCGAAGGUUGUUGGUCACACACUUAAAGAAAAUGGCCAAAAUGUCUGAAAACUGGUCAUGUGUCAUUACGUCAAAAUCAUAAACUAUUAUUUUUUAUAACAUAUACAAGUAUUAUGUGCUGUACUUGAAGCU
Molecule: long non-coding RNA, 3327 nt
Organism: Girardinichthys multiradiatus
Lineage: Eukaryota; Metazoa; Chordata; Actinopteri; Cyprinodontiformes; Goodeidae
Exons: 13
Source: RefSeq, a predicted model, not a curated record